GAUGAACGCUAGCGGCAGGCUUAAUACAUGCAAGUUGAGGGGCAGCAUGAUAUACGCGAGUAUAUUGAUGGCGACCGGCGGACGGGUGAGUAAUAGGUAGGAGACCUACCUCAUACAGGGGGAUAGCAUAGAGAAAUCUGUGGUAAUACCCCAUGAGGUUAUAUGAAUAGAGGCAUAUAAUCAAAGCAUAAGCGAUUAUGCGGUAUGAGAGGGGCCUACUGACCAUUAGCUAGUUGGUGAGGUAAGGGCUCACCAAGGCGAAGAUGGUUAGGGGUUUUGAGAGAGAGACCCCCCACAUUGGAACUGAGAGACGGUCCAGACUCCUACGGGAGGCAGCAGUAGGGAAUAUUGGGCAAUGGCGAAAGCCUGACCCAGCCAUGCCGCGUGAAGGAAGACAGCCUUAUGGGUUUGUAAACUUUCUUUACUACGCGAAUAGAGGUUAGUACGAGAUACUAAUAGGAAGGUAGUAGUAAGUAAAAAGCACCGGCUAACUCCGUACG
RNAcentral lists this ribosomal RNA (500 nucleotides) under uncultured bacterium. Its description in RNAcentral is "bacterial SSU rRNA". It matches the Rfam family "Bacterial small subunit ribosomal RNA", at positions 28 to 509 of the family's 1533-position model. The record is from RNAcentral.